Cydia fagiglandana is the source of this 1229-nucleotide long non-coding RNA. RefSeq lists it as uncharacterized. The transcript is spliced from 3 exons. NCBI's taxonomy places the organism in Eukaryota, Metazoa, Arthropoda, Insecta, Lepidoptera, Tortricidae. The record is from RefSeq and is a predicted model, not a curated record.
AACAAAAAUGCAUUGAGCGGGCAUGUGAUUUCAUGCAAACGUGCGUUGUUAGAGCCACAUGGUAACAUGUAAACAUUAAAUGUCCUACUUCUGAAAUGUGGAAACAUAUUUAAGCAAUGUGUGUAGUUUAUUUUAAAGCAUACCUAAUAGCGUUAGGCAUUUUAAGAAAAUGUGCUAUUUUGAAUAGUUUGAAUAUUUAAACAAUUUAGAUAUAUUUUAGUUGGAUAAUAAUCUCCCUAAUAAAGAAAGCUGAAAUUGUCGUAAUUUGGCAUCAUUCGUUACGAUCCAAAACAUUUUGCUAAUAGUUGUGUGUCACAUAAUUGUCUUCGCAAUUUGUACUGAUUACGAGCAGAAACAUUUUAAAGAAGCAUGUCAUUUAUAUUCGCGGUUGACGCAUCUGUUUACAUUGGAGCAUGUUUCUCACAUAACGCGAAUGCAAUUUACAUGACAUCAUGUUUUAUUCCAACUGUAACACUUAUUUAAACAUCUGCUAAAUUUUUAUAAAGCUAAUAAUUAAGUAAUUUUACAGGUCCAAGUUGAAGGUGUAUCAUGCGGUUGCAAAGUAUAAAAAUGCUUACCACGUCUAUGUUCAAAAUAUUUUCAAAUAAGGAAGUCUACUAUGGGGAUCACAUCAGAAAAUAAUUUCAGUGUUAUGUUUGGUUUUAGAUCCUGUAUUUGGUUGGUAAGACUUGUUAAACCAUCUAAAAUAUUCUAAUUAAUUUUACAGGCCCAGGUUAAAGAAGAAUCAUGCGAUUGCGGAUUUAUAUUCAAAAAUGCUUACCCCAAUUAUGUUUAAAAUAGAUUCGAAUAAGGGCUUCAACUAUGGGGAAUACAUGAGCAAAUAUUUUCAAUAUUACGGAUCAGGUUGAAGAAGAAUCAUGCGCGGGUUUAAAUUGAAAAAUGCUUACCACGGCUAUGUUCAAAAUAGAUUCGUAAAAGGACUUCUAGAAUGGGGCAAAUAUCAAUAAAUCAGUGUCACCUUCACACAUCAGCCAUCUGGCAAAUUAACCUGUCCUCAGUUAUUUUGAAUAACGCCGGAAUGUGCGAUCAAGGUGACACAUUCCUUGGCUUCCAAUUUGUCGCGUUUUGAUGGAAACUAUGCGAUGUUUGAAGCGUUGCAAACAGCCGGGGUCAAAGCUUGUAGUUAUUGCUGUCAACUUUGAUGAUCAAGCUUAAUGAAUAAAAACUCAACAUAUAGCAGCCUCGUUAUCUUCAUUCCUCAUAUUUUA